RNAcentral lists this ribosomal RNA (253 nucleotides) under uncultured bacterium. RNAcentral's name for it is "partial 16S ribosomal RNA". It matches the Rfam family "Bacterial small subunit ribosomal RNA", at positions 524 to 776 of the family's 1533-position model. The record is from RNAcentral.
GACAGAGGGUGCAAACGUUGCUCGGAAUUACUGGGCGUAAAGCGCGUGUAGGCGGGCCGAUAAGUCAGACGUGAAAUCCCUGAGCUCAACUCAGGAACUGCGUUUGAAACUGCCGGUCUAGAGUGGUGGAGAGGGAAGCGGAAUUCCUGGUGUAGAGGUGAAAUUCGUAGAUAUCAGGAGGAACACCGGUGGCGAAGGCGACUUCCUGGACACCAACUGACGCUGAGACGCGAAAGCGUGGGGAGCAAACAGG